GUGUCACGAUUAUUAAAGAGAAUUAACGCCUCACUAAUUUCAUAUUUAUGAUCUGAUAAUUUAGCACCAUAAAAAUCGGGAUCACGUACUCGACGGUUACAUCAGAAUCAUCCAUAAAAAGGAGAUAAGUGAGUAAUACUGGUAAGCCAUCUCGGGGCUAGAACUCUGCUAUUUUCUACAUUCAAAAACUACUGUUCAUCAAUUUUUUUCUCUG
RNAcentral lists this long non-coding RNA (214 nucleotides) under Elaeis guineensis (African oil palm). RNAcentral's name for it is "long non-coding RNA (EGUI_LNC030875)". The record is from RNAcentral. Lineage: Eukaryota; Viridiplantae; Streptophyta; Magnoliopsida; Arecales; Arecaceae.